GAUGAACGCUAGCGGGAGGCUUAACACAUGCAAGUCGAGGGGCAGCACGAGAUAGCAAUAUUUUGGUGGCGACCGGCGCACGGGUGAGUAACACGUAUGCAACCUACCUCGUACAGGGGGAUAACCCGGAGAAAUUCGGACUAAUAUCCCAUAAUAAUAUUGAAAGGCAUCUUUUAAUAUUUAAAGCUCAGGCGGUACGGGAUGGGCAUGCGGAACAUUAGCUAGUUGGUAGGGUAACGGCCUACCAAGGCUGCGAUGUUUAGGGGACCUGAGAGGGUUAUCCCCCACACUGGUACUGAGACACGGACCAGACUCCUACGGGAGGCAGCAGUGAGGAAUAUUGGUCAAUGGGCGCAAGCCUGAACCAGCCAUCCCGCGUGAAGGAAGAAGGCGCUAUGCGUCGUAAACUUCUUUUCCAGGGGGAGAAUUUUCCGGUCGUGACCGGAAUUGACGGUACUCUGGGAAUAAGCAUCGGCUAACUCCGUGCCAGCAGCCGCGGUAAGCAUACUCGUA
This 513-nucleotide ribosomal RNA is filed under the name uncultured bacterium. RNAcentral describes it as "bacterial SSU rRNA". It matches the Rfam family "Bacterial small subunit ribosomal RNA", at positions 28 to 529 of the family's 1533-position model. The record is from RNAcentral.